Molecule: long non-coding RNA, 442 nt
Organism: Thunnus maccoyii (southern bluefin tuna)
Lineage: Eukaryota; Metazoa; Chordata; Actinopteri; Scombriformes; Scombridae
Exons: 3
Source: RefSeq, a predicted model, not a curated record
CUGGGUUGGAUCAAUAUGAAAUAUGAACCCACAGCAACGCCCACAUGCUUAUGCUCUCACGUAGAGUUGAGUAUCUCUGGGGAAGCCCACCCCCUGAGUAUCCACCAGGGGGGACAACAGUGAGUGGAUGAAGCUUCCCAUCGACCAGAAAUGAGUGACAUUCUCUGCAGUUUACUUCAACUCACUCGGUGUGGAAAGCCCAUCUGAAUUGAUAUGGAAAAUCUUCUGAAGUUGUUCCAGAGGAUAGAAGAUGAGAAGAGUCCAGAGUGGGGGAAGUAGCUGGGAUUCAUAAAGAAGUUUGUCACUGGCUCAAAUGCCGUGGCUCAGCUUAAAGGCCUGGAGGCCGUCCUGGCGUUGACUGAAAACACUCAUGUUUCUGGGAAGUAAGUCAUGGUUGCAACAGGAAUUUUCAUUUUUAAAAAGGCUGGAAUGAGUGUUGGCA